UCGAGAAUUUUUCUCAAUGGGCGAAAGCCUGAAGGAGCGACGCCGCGUGGGGGAUGAAUGGCUUCGGCCCGUAAACCCCUGUCAUUUGCGAACAAACCUUUCCAGUUAAUAGUUGGAAAGCUGAUUGUAGCGAAAGAGGAAGGGACGGCUAACUCUGUGCCAGCAGCCGCGGUAAUACAGAGGUCCCAAGCGUUGUUCGGAUUCACUGGGCGUAAAGGGUGCGUAGGUGGUCGGGUAAGUCUGAUGUGAAAUCUCCGAGCUUAACUCGGAAAUGGCAUUGGAUACUAUUCGGCUAGAGGGUUUGAGGGGGGACUGGAAUACUUGGUGUAGCAGUGAAAUGCGUAGAUAUCAAGUGGAACACCAGUGGCGAAGGCGAGUCCCUGGAAAACUCCUGACACUGAGGCACGAAAGCUAGGGGAGCAAA
RNAcentral lists this ribosomal RNA (424 nucleotides) under uncultured bacterium. RNAcentral's name for it is "bacterial SSU rRNA". It matches the Rfam family "Bacterial small subunit ribosomal RNA", at positions 355 to 772 of the family's 1533-position model. The record is from RNAcentral.